CGCGUGAGGAACCUGCCUUCCAGAGGGGGACAACAGUUGGAAACGACUGCUAAUACCGCAUGACGCAUUGGUGUCGCAUGGCACUGAUGUCAAAGAUUUAUCGCUGGAAGAUGGCCUCGCGUCUGAUUAGCUAGUUGGUGAGGUAACGGCCCACCAAGGCGACGAUCAGUAGCCGGACUGAGAGGUUGGCCGGCCACAUUGGGACUGAGAUACGGCCCAGACUCCUACGGAAGGCAGCAG
This 240-nucleotide ribosomal RNA is filed under the name uncultured bacterium. RNAcentral's name for it is "partial 16S ribosomal RNA". It matches the Rfam family "Bacterial small subunit ribosomal RNA", at positions 114 to 354 of the family's 1533-position model. The record is from RNAcentral.